This is a long non-coding RNA of Sycon ciliatum, 2265 nucleotides long. RefSeq lists it as uncharacterized. NCBI's taxonomy places the organism in Eukaryota, Metazoa, Porifera, Calcarea, Leucosolenida, Sycettidae. The record is from RefSeq and is a predicted model, not a curated record. The transcript has 5 exons.
UGGAUGGCGCACGACGCCGCCUCCUGUUCUCACUCAAAAUGCAGCCGUUUUGUACGCUUGCGUCUCCGUCUAUGCCCGUCUACGGUAUGAAAAGUUGAACUGAUCCAACACUUCCCGUCGCUUCCCGAUCCGUACGGUAGUACGGUUGCGUUCCCGUUCCUGGUGUUCACAUUGGACGCCGUCAGACCGUCCUGUCGCUUCCCAUCGAUCCUUACGCCGCGUCCCGUCGAAUUUGAACUAGGCUUUAUCAAUAUGAACUAGAGGAGUUCAUGUUGUUGUUUCUAGAACGAAGAAUCAGGCUUGUCGUCACCCUUUGGCUUGAAGCUCUUAUCACCAACUUCCGCAACGAAUCAAUUGAAAAGAUACCGUCUUGACUCCCGAUCUCUUUCAUAGCUACGCAUCAAUAUUACUGCGCUUGAAAGUACACGAUUUCACUCGUAUCCACAAUUGGAUGGAGUGCAAGGGCUAGAAUACUGCCACUGGUAUGCAUGCAUAAAAAAUCGUUUGCAUUCGCUUUGAACACUAACGAUUAUCGAUUGCGCUCUUAAUAAAACGAUCGGUUUGCGAGUUAUCUGUAUACUUGUUUCAGCCCCAAAUGCAUUGCCCUCGUAGAGGACAGGGAUGAGCAGUGAUAUGAGCAGGGAUGUGAGUACUGAUGUGCCUUUCGUCCUCAUAUUUUACAGAGAAGACGUCUGCCCCCAAUAAUAAAAUUAAUGUAGUAAUGAUAAUGUGUUGCCCUUUCAUCUUCUCAGGAGCCCUAUGCCUUUGCCUCUUCUCCCCUGGACUGAAUGGACUGGACGCUCUGUCCAGUAGUGUCCAGUAAAUGAUUUGUAGUGUAAGUUAGGGUGCACUCUCUCUUGAGGAUUUGCCCACCUUGAUGAUUGUGCUCUUCGUGUUAUUAGAAAAUGUCUCUAACUGCCAGGAUGGUAUAAGAGCACGAACUGAAUCACCUGUUGGUGCAGAAGGCUUGGAGGACUGCUUUUGAAACAGUUGUUCAAAUUUCCUGCACCUCUUCGUAGCCGUUGUCUGACUUCUGCAUUCUGGGGAGACUGAAGUUAAGAAGCCCUCACCGAAACCAACACUACGUUGCUGUGUUGUUUUCUUCCAAGGUCGGGCACAGUAAAGGAGACGACUCUGACUGCACUGACCCUACCAUCCACUCUACCUCUCCGGAAAGGGACUUGACAACCAGUCAAGAUGGAUGUGCAGAGAUAUACCAGCGCUUCUAGCAUUAACUGCCAAUUUGCACUGACGCAGCAAGACUCCCAACAGUCAAAAAGAAUAAUAUAGACGUGCAGAAAAUGUAGGAGAGCGAUGACAUCAGAAGGACACUCUCAGGUUCAGGGUACCUGUACUGCCCCAAUAAAGUGGGUCAGAUCCCAAAACGAGGUUGGCCGAAGCAAAAAAAAUAGAAGAGCCUGCCUUGAAUUGAAUAUGAGGAAGAAGAAGAAGACAAAGAAAGAGAAAGAGUAGGAAUUUGUUUGUGUAAACUUUGUUUCCUCUGUCUAGGCUGCCAUCGCAUUAUAGCAGCCAACAGUGUGUGUGUGUGUGUGUGUGUGUGUGUGUAUAUGUGUGUGUGUGUUUGCGUUUGUGUGCACACGCUUGUGUGUGUGUGUGUGUGUUUGCAUGUGUGUAUAUUCUGCUAAUCUUGACUUAAAUUUCCGUAUCUGGGCAUAUUGUGUUCUGUAUGUGAAUUUAUCUUCAUUCCCGUAGCUAUGCAGAAGACGUUACUUCAGUAACGUCUGGCGCUAGCCAGGGUCCACACAGCUUUAAUUUGGUAUUUGUGUGUUUGUUUGUGUCACGCCUGGCGCUAUCCGUAUCUGACGGCAAAAAAAGCAUAGGGACGUUAUAAAUUUUUCAAUUCUCCUAUUUUUUCAGGCAUAUGCUGGGAUUCGAACCCGCACUAUCGCCCUACAUGCAUUCCCCCAUACACUUCGCAUUCAUACCCAUUCUUCCAAGUUGCUUCACGUUAUGAUCUUGCGUUUGAAAGCCCUAUUUGAAUAUUGCUGGCAGCUAUAUGUGGCCAGCUGUGUUUGAUGGUACGGUACGGUACGGGAGACGGUGUCGUAUUACCGUCGAUCGUACCUGUCCCGUACCUAUCCCCUACCGUACCGUGCCAUCAAAGACGGCUGGCCACAAUGCAUAUUCAAAUACUAGUAGGGCUUUCAAAUGCAAGAUCACAAUGUGAAGCAACUUGGAAGAAUUAGUAUGUAUGCGAAGUGUAUCGGGGGGUGCAUGCAGGGUGCGCGAUAGUGCGGGUUCGAA